RNAcentral lists this transfer RNA (84 nucleotides) under Caudoviricetes sp. RNAcentral's name for it is "tRNA-OTHER". The record is from RNAcentral. Lineage: Duplodnaviria; Heunggongvirae; Uroviricota; Caudoviricetes.
GGCGCAGUGGGUUGACCGGCCCCUGCUAAGGGAGUAGGCUGGCUCAAAACCGGCGCGAGGGUUCAAAUCCCUCCUUCUGCGCCA